RNAcentral lists this ribosomal RNA (247 nucleotides) under uncultured Lactobacillus sp. RNAcentral's name for it is "partial 16S ribosomal RNA". It matches the Rfam family "Bacterial small subunit ribosomal RNA", at positions 116 to 355 of the family's 1533-position model. Lineage: Bacteria; Bacillati; Bacillota; Bacilli; Lactobacillales; Lactobacillaceae. The record is from RNAcentral.
CGUGGGGAACCUGCCCCAUAGUCUGGGAUACCACUUGGAAACAGGUGCUAAUACCGGAUAAGAAAGCGGAUCGCAUGAUCAGCUUUUAAAAGGCGGCGUAAGCUGUCGCUAUGGGAUGGCCCCGCGGUGCAUUAGCUAGUUGGUAAGGUAAAGGCUUACCAAGGCGAUGAUGCAUAGCCGAGUUGAGAGACUGAUCGGCCACAUUGAGACUGAGACACGGCCCAAACUCCUACGGGAGGCAGCAGCA